This 467-nucleotide ribosomal RNA is filed under the name uncultured bacterium. Its description in RNAcentral is "partial 16S ribosomal RNA". It matches the Rfam family "Bacterial small subunit ribosomal RNA", at positions 28 to 523 of the family's 1533-position model. The record is from RNAcentral.
GAUGAACGCUGGCGGAGUGCCUAAUACAUGCAAGUCGAGCGGCAGCGCGAGUAGUUUACUACUUGGCGGCGAGCGGCGGACGGUUGAGUAACGCGUGGGAACGUGCCCCAAAGUGAGGGAUAACCACCCGAAAGGGUGGCUAAUACCGCAUAUGAUCUUCGGAUUAAAGGAUUUAUCCGCUUUGGGAGCGGCCCGCGUACGAUUAGAUUGUUGGUGAGGUAAUGGCUCACCAAGUCGACGAUCGUUAGCUGGUCUGAGAGGAUGAUCAGCCAGACUGGGACUGAGACACGGCCCAGACUCCUACGGGAGGCAGCAGUAAGGAAUCUUCCACAAUGGGGGCAACCCUGAUGGAGCAACUCCGCGUGCAGGACGAAGGCCUUCGGGUCGUAAACUGCUUUUAUGAGUGAAGAAUAUGACGGUAACUCAUGAAUAAGGAUCGGCUAACUACGUGCCAGCAGCCGCGGUAA